GUGCUCAUUUUGGGAGCAUAUAUACUAAAACUGAAUGAUACACAGAUUAGCAUGGCCCCCAUGCAAGGGUGACAUGCAAAUUGUGAAUAGUUCCAUAUAUUU
RNAcentral lists this small nuclear RNA (102 nucleotides) under Dasypus novemcinctus (nine-banded armadillo). The record is from RNAcentral. Lineage: Eukaryota; Metazoa; Chordata; Mammalia; Cingulata; Dasypodidae.